Molecule: non-coding RNA, 574 nt
Filed under: Scleropages formosus (Asian bonytongue)
Lineage: Eukaryota; Metazoa; Chordata; Actinopteri; Osteoglossiformes; Osteoglossidae
Description: Eukaryotic large subunit ribosomal RNA
Rfam family: Eukaryotic large subunit ribosomal RNA
Source: Rfam by way of RNAcentral
UAAGAGAUGGGCGAACGCCGUUCGGAAGGGAGGGGUGAUGGCCUCCAUCGCCCCCGGUCGAUUGAAAGGGAGUCGGGUUCAGAUCCCCGAAUCCGGAGUGGUGGAGACGGGCGUCACAAGACGUCCAGUGUGGCGACGCGACCGAUCCUGGAGAAACCCGCGGGAGCCCCGGGGAGAGUUCUCUUUUCUUUAUGAAGGACAGGGCGCCCUGAAAUGGGUUCGCUCCGAGAGAGGGGCCCGAGCCUUGGAAAGCGUUGCGGUUCCGGCGGCAUCCGGUGAGCUCUCGUCGGCCCUUGAAAAUCUGGGGGAGAUGGUGUAAAUCUCACUCCGGGCGGUACCCAUAUCCGCAGCAGGUCUCCAAGGUGAACAGCCUCUGGCAUGUUGGAACAAUGUAGGUAAGGGAAGUCGACAAGUCAGAUCCGUAACUUCUGGAUAAGGAUUGGCUCUAAGGGCUGGGUCAGUCGGGCUGGGGUGCGAAGCGGGGCUGGGCGCAAGCCACGGCUACAGACCAUGAAAGCAGGGCCUCACGAUCCUUCUGGCUUUCUGGGUUUCAAGCAGGAGGUGUCAGAAAAGU